RNAcentral lists this ribosomal RNA (367 nucleotides) under uncultured bacterium. RNAcentral's name for it is "bacterial SSU rRNA". It matches the Rfam family "Bacterial small subunit ribosomal RNA", at positions 29 to 421 of the family's 1533-position model. The record is from RNAcentral.
AACGAACGCUGGCGGCAGGCUUAACACAUGCAAGUCGAACGGGCGUAGCAAUACGUCAGUGGCGGACGGGUGAGUAACACGUGGGAAUAUGCCUUUCGGUUCGGAACAACUCGGGGAAACCCGUGCUAAUUCCGGAUACGCCCUUACGGGGAAAGAUUUAUCGCCGAAAGAUUAGCCCGCGUUGGAUUAGCUAGUUGGUGAGGUAAAGGCUCACCAAGGCGACGAUCCAUAGCUGGUUUGAGAGAACGACCAGCCACACUGGGACUGAGACACGGCCCAGACUCCUACGGGAGGCAGCAGUGGGGAAUCUUGGACAAUGGGCGCAAGCCUGAUCCAGCCAUGCCGCGUGAGUGAUGAAGGCCUUCGG